This 73-nucleotide transfer RNA is filed under the name Stegodyphus mimosarum. It matches the Rfam family "tRNA". From Rfam's summary of the family: Transfer RNA (tRNA) molecules are approximately 80 nucleotides in length. Their secondary structure includes four short double-helical elements and three loops (D, anti-codon, and T loops). Further hydrogen bonds mediate the characteristic L-shaped molecular structure. tRNAs have two regions of fundamental functional importance: the anti-codon, which is responsible for specific mRNA codon recognition, and the 3' end, to which the tRNAs corresponding amino acid is attached (by aminoacyl-tRNA synthetases). tRNAs cope with the degeneracy of the genetic code in two manners: having more than one tRNA (with a specific anti-codon) for a particular amino acid; and 'wobble' base-pairing, i.e. permitting non-standard base-pairing at the 3rd anti-codon position. Lineage: Eukaryota; Metazoa; Arthropoda; Arachnida; Araneae; Eresidae. The record is from Rfam by way of RNAcentral.
GCCUUCGUGGUGUAGUGGUCAGCACACUCGGCGCGUAUUCCAGAGGUCCGCGGUUCGAAUCCCGGCGAGGGCA